Molecule: long non-coding RNA, 2363 nt
Organism: Lolium rigidum
Lineage: Eukaryota; Viridiplantae; Streptophyta; Magnoliopsida; Poales; Poaceae
Exons: 4
Source: RefSeq, a predicted model, not a curated record
CUCGAUCCCUUUUUUUCCUCUCCAUCUAUCUCCCUCUCUUUGUGCUAGGGCUCAAGGUAUGGUAUGGCGAUGGCUUAUCAGAUAGGAGAUUCGAGCAGCAACUACUCUCUGAUCUCAAAAGGAGGAGGUCGUUGGGGUCAUUUCCAAUGGUGUGGAGCUCCAUCGUUUGCGCUGAACGGUUCUGACACCGGCUGAGAUUUGUCUGAUCUGAGCAUCCAUAUUCUUUGCAUGUCUUUUUGGUUGUCAGAGAGUCCAAAGGGGAAAAAUAAUUUGUAUACAUUAACGCAUUUACAAUGACUAAUAUGUGAAAGAUGAGGCUCAACAUCAUUUGAACUAUUUCAUGUAAUUAGCGAUUAAAUCUUAAAUUUUUGUUUAAGGCAGAAGAGGAGAGUUCUGAAAUAAUUCAGUUACCAACAUGGUAUUGUAUGUUUAGUUUUCCAUUAUGUGCCAGAUUUUCCAAAAAAAUAAUGGUGGAAAUUCUGCUACAAAUUUGCUUAUGUAUAUGCUAAACAUGAGAUAUAGAAUAACAUGGAGAUUUAACUAGAUAGAAGAUUCUGCAAUAAUUAUUUUGCAUUUCCUGCAGAUUAGUCAUAAUAGAACUCUUGAAGUGAUCAUUUGUAAUUGGCAUUCCCUCAACAGUGCAGAUAUAAUGUGUAGGGUAUUUAUUUUAUAUGAAUUUGUUGUUCUCUGAUGUGUGCAGUUUCCAAUCACAAUGACGAGCUGUAUAGAUAUGAGUAUUGUUUGCCCUUCAGUGUAUGUUCCAUGAAUUUACAUGGGUCGCACCUUCAGUCCUAGGACAGCAAACCAAAGCGUAUUGGCACAUUGAGAACCGCGAAAAACUGUUGAGAGGUGGAAGAGGAGACCCACGACAGCGCGUCGCAAAUCUGACCGACGCUUGUGCAGUGACCGCCUCUCCUUGGCAUCACUUGAAAAGAGAAAGUGGAACGGUGAUGCAUCACCGGAGAGGAUGCUGAGGAUUAUCUUGCCAUGUGCAUGCUUGGCUGCUAGGUAUCUUGCUAGGGCCUGCUCAUUCAUUGGUGGAGAGUCUCACCAGGAAUUUAUAAACCUUCUUCUAAUGGGUAUGUGGUUCAUUUCAUCUUCCUUAACCGUAAUUUACUUUCAAUUCAUGAUGUUAAUCAUGAGAGAGGAUUCGACUGUCAUGUUGCCUUUGUGGCAUCAAAUUCCCUAUGUGAUCCAGCAAAUUUAUCAAAAUGAUGAGGUAUACUUUCCUUAUCUCUGAAUUUUCACUAUUUAUUUGAAGCUUGUAAUUACCAGGUGCUAUUAAUUAGCUAAAUAUUAUCUUCUGGAUGUCUUCUUGAUUCAGGUGCAUACGUAUGUUUGAAAUACCUUUUAAACAUUUUAAACUUCUAAAGUUUAUUGCUGAUGUUCUCUUCCCAUCAGGGAAGCAACAUGCAUAUACACAAAACAAAUCAGCCAUUUUCAAGAAUAAGGAUGGUAAAGCUUGUGUAGUGAUAUUUUCUUAUCACACAGGGAUCUUUGAAUUGAGGUAGUUACAAAAUUUCAUGUUUUUUCGUUGCCAUGCUACAUUUCUCGAUGAACAUGCUGCCAUGUUGCCUUUAAGAUUACAUAUUGGAAUAAUGUAGUGACUUAUAUACAUAUUAUCAAAGUAUGAUGGUGGAAAAUGGUUCCUUCUUUAUGUUUGUUCAUACAAGUUUCUACUGACUUCUCUUUCAUUCAUUCAUUCUUUCUUGUUUUCACAUGCUUUUCAAAAUUUGGACUGCUGGUACUUAAUAAAUGAAAGAUAUCGAGCUAUUUACUCAUCAUUUUUUUAUUGUUCUACAACUUGGCUAAUAAAACUAUAAAUUGCAGCCUGCUAAUACUACCAUCAUCACACUUUUUCACUUGCCUGUGAGGUACGUGAUGACGAAUCUCUUGGUAAUAUUGGUUUAUCAUAGAUAAAACAAACAAUGUUUUUGUUGGAGAAUCUUCAUAAUAUCCUCACAGAUUUUAAAAGGAUACUUUUGGAUAUCAUCAUUUGUUACUUGUAUGCAUGCAAGUGCCUGGUGAAGCUUGCUCAGCAGUAUCUAACUUUAUCAAAUGCAUGUUUGCAUCCUUUUGUUCUAAUGUGUAUUCUUCUGCAUGGUUCAGUUUUUGACUCCACAAAGAAUAGAUACGUUCAGAUUGGUUGCCCAUAUACAUGUUUGUAUUUUCCUAAGAUGAAAAGUUAAGGGGAUUAUUUUUUAUUUUAGCCUGGUUAUCAGCGUGCAAUUUCCCUGCUGCAUGCUCAUAUGUGAUAUUUGUUCAUGUGUUGCAUAUAUAUGAUCCUCCAGCUUGCAUAUCUAUAUUUUGCCACAAGCAGACAUUUUAUUCCACAAGCAGAGCAUUAUAGGUUGGCAGUAGCU